RNAcentral lists this ribosomal RNA (301 nucleotides) under uncultured bacterium. Its description in RNAcentral is "partial 16S ribosomal RNA". It matches the Rfam family "Bacterial small subunit ribosomal RNA", at positions 509 to 809 of the family's 1533-position model. The record is from RNAcentral.
CAGCCGCCGCGGGAAUACGUAGGUGGCGAGCGUUGUCCGGAAUUAUUGGGCGUAAAGGGAGCGCAGGCGGGCGAGUAAGUCCUUCUUAAAAGUGCGGGGCUCAACCCCGUGAGGGGAGAGAAACUACUCAUCUUGAGUGCAGGAGAGGAAAGCGGAAUUCCUAGUGUAGCGGUGAAAUGCGUAGAUAUUAGGAAGAACACCAGUGGCGAAGGCGGCUUUCUGGACUGUAACUGACGCUGAGGCUCGAAAGCCAGGGGAGCGAACGGGAUUAGAUACCCCUGUAGUCCCUGUCUCUUAUACA